UACCAUGGUGGUAACGGGUAACGGGGUGUUAGGGCACGACACCGGAGAGGGAGCCUGAGAAACGGCUACCACAUCCAAGGAUGGCAGCAGGCGCGCAAAUUACCCAAUCCCGACACGGGGAGGUAGUGACAAUAAAUAACAAUACGGGGUUCUUUAGGAUCUCGUAAUCGGAAUGAGUACAAUUUAAAUCUCUUAACGAGGAACAAUUGGAGGGCAAGUCUGGUGCCAGCAGCCGCGGUAAUUCCAGCUCCAAUAGCGUAUAUUAAAGUUGUUGCAGUUAAAAAGCUCGUAGUUGAAUUUCGGGGUCAGUAGGUCGGUCGUGCCACUGGUAUGAACUGGUUUUACUGAUUCCUCCCUCUUGAAGAACUGUAAUGCCAUUAAUUUGGUGUUGCAGGGGAUCAGGACUGUUACUUUGAAAAAAUUAGAGUGUUUAAAGCAGGCUUUAGCUUGAAUACAUUAGCAUGGAAUAAUGAAAUAGGACGUUUGAUCCUAUUUUGUUGGUUUCUAGGAUUGACGUAAUGAUUAAUAGGGAUAGUUGGGGGCAUUAGUAUUCAAUUGUCAGAGGUGAAAUUCUUGGAUUUAUUGAAGACUAACUACUGCGAAAGCAUUUGCCAAGGAUGUUUUCAUUAAUCAAGAACGAAAGUUAGGGGAUCGAAGACGAUCAGAUACCGUCGUAGUCUUAACCAUAAACUAUGCCGACUAGGGAUCGGAUGAUGUUAAUUUUUUAAUGACUCAUUCGGCGCCUUACGGGAAACCAAAGUGUUU
Molecule: ribosomal RNA, 765 nt
Filed under: uncultured Glomus
Lineage: Eukaryota; Fungi; Glomeromycota; Glomeromycetes; Glomerales; Glomeraceae
Description: SSU rRNA
Rfam family: Eukaryotic small subunit ribosomal RNA
Source: RNAcentral